GUAGUCCACGCCGUAAACGAUGAAUGCUAGGUGUUGGGGCUUACGGGUCUCAGUGCCGAAGUUAACACAUUAAGCAUUCCACCUGGGGAGUACGACCGCAAGGUUGAAACUCAAAGGAAUUGACGGGGGCCCGCACAAGCAGCGGAGCAUGUGGUUUAAUUCGACGCAACGCGAAGAACCUUACCAGGUCUUGACAUCCAAUUAAACUUGUAGAGAUACAAGGUGUGCUUGCACAAAUUGAGACAGGUGGUGCAUGGUUGUCGUCAGCUCGUGUCGUGAGAUGUUGGGUUAAGUCCCGCAACGAGCGCAACCCUUACUGAUAGUUACUAACGCGUAAAGGCGAGGACUCUAUCAGGACUGCCGGGGACAACUCGGAGGAAGGUGGGGACGACGUCAAAUCAUCAUGCCCCUUAUGACCUGGGCUACACACGUGCUACAAUGGUCGUUACAGAGAGAGGCGAGACCGCAAGGUUAAGCGGAUCUCAAAAAAGCGAUCCCAGUUCGGAUUGUGGGCUGCAACCCGCCCACAUGAAGUCGGAGUUGCUAGUAAUCGCGGAUCAGCAUGCCGCGGUGAAUACGUUCCCGGGCCUUGUACACACCGCCCGUCACACCAUGGGAGUUGGGAGUGCCCAAAGCCGGCGAGGUAACCGCAAGGAGCCAGCCGUCUAAGGCAAGACCAAUGACUGGGGUG
RNAcentral lists this ribosomal RNA (691 nucleotides) under uncultured bacterium. Its description in RNAcentral is "bacterial SSU rRNA". It matches the Rfam family "Bacterial small subunit ribosomal RNA", at positions 790 to 1482 of the family's 1533-position model. The record is from RNAcentral.